Long non-coding RNA from Patella vulgata (common limpet), 613 nucleotides. RefSeq lists it as uncharacterized. Lineage: Eukaryota; Metazoa; Mollusca; Gastropoda; Patellidae. The record is from RefSeq and is a predicted model, not a curated record. The transcript has 4 exons.
UUUAAUCCACAAAGAGAGGCUAGUACAUAUUGUAUUAUUCAGAUCACCUGAUUGUAUAGAAGGUUAUAGAGGUUACGAGAUUUUAAUAACUAGACCUCACUAGAUUAAAUAAAGAUGCCGUUUGUAACUGUUACCACCAACGCGUCUGCGUCUCUUAUCACAGACACGUUUGCAGCUACACUUGGUAAAACUGUAGGUGAUUUCCUGGAUCGACCAGAACAGUACGUGACAGUUCGAAUGGUACCCGAUCAGUUGAUGUUUACUGGAGGUAAACCCAUUCCAUUUGUUCAAGUUAUUAUAGAGAGCCUCAGUGCAUUAAACCCAGAUAAAAAUGCUGAAAUUACACCUGUUGUGACGAAAAUCAUCGAGGAGAACUUAAAGAUUCCAGCUGAACGAAUCCUGUUCAAGUUCGUGUUACUGGAUCCUACUGAUGUUGGAAUCAAUGGUAAAACUUUUCCAGCGGGAUUCGGUCAAUAAGUUAGUCGACGUCACACGAUAUUCAGCAUGUUAUGAUCAAGGCAACUGAAGCCUGAUAUCCAUGGUGAUUCAAAUAUUGAUUAUUAUUGUUUUAGUGAAAUAAACACGUGAUCAAAUAUGUCACGCUUUCAAAUGA